This is a long non-coding RNA of Gadus chalcogrammus (walleye pollock), 4933 nucleotides long. RefSeq lists it as uncharacterized. The transcript is spliced from 4 exons. Lineage: Eukaryota; Metazoa; Chordata; Actinopteri; Gadiformes; Gadidae. The record is from RefSeq and is a predicted model, not a curated record.
GGUCGCUCAUCAGAGAUGUCCGUUGAUCGCGGCACCGUGUGCCUUAACGGUCAUCUGUCAGUUAGAGAUGUCCGUUGAUCGCGGCUCCGUGUGCCGGUCCAGCCAAACCUUAACAGGCCGAUCCUUUUCUUGCGCUCCUUCGUUGAACUGCCACUCGCGUCGAUGAACAGUCCGAGUUUUCACUGUAACUCCCUCUAAUAGCAUUCGGUAGACACCAAUGGUUUCCUUUGACGGGUUUUAUUGUAGCCUUUUACUCCAACUCCACCGUGAAAACUAUAGAUGAAUACAUACACAGUACAACAGAAAUCACGGCAUUAGCUUUACAUAAAAUCAUAAAUUACACGGCACACAAAAAGCCAAACAAGCAAAACAAAAUACAGGGAAACAACAAGAAACAUACCUCGUUGGCUGCAUGCUAUUUACAGGGACUUUGAAACUAGAUUAUUUUCGGCGAUGCGUAUCACAAGCUGUUCACCUUCUCUCAUGCCGCAUCUCAAACUGACACAAACUGACAAAACAUCAGCCUAAAUACACACACACACACAAGUGACGUCAUUCAACAAACUAUUUAAAUACAAUUUUAAACCUGAAUAACGAACACAAUUAUUGAAUUACUAAUAUAAACAAAAAUGAAUUUCCUUAUGCCUUAUAAUAUGAAAGUAAUAAUUAAAUUACAGAAACCUUUUAAUGAUGACAGUUACACCAUGUGACUGAAAUCUCCAAACUGAUCUACUUUGCGCAUCAAGGGAAAACAUGACAGUUCUCUAGUCAUACAAUACCCCAAAACAUCCACGCUCUACUUCUCUACAUCGGAAACAUCUGCCAGGGAAAGGGAUCACGAUGCCGGAACCGAGGCUUCAAAUCAACAUGAUCAUGUACCGUUCGUUUCUCUAGGAAGGUUUUAAACAGAAAACUCUUCUGUCCUGCUCCUCAUCCAAGGUCCCGAAACCAAACCCAAAACCCAACUCUGAAGCCAAACCCUAACCCAGAAUGAUGCUGCAAUUCAUGAUUAGGUAGUUAGAAAGCAUUUGUUAAGCAUUUUGUGUGAGCUUAUCUAAAGUGAGGACUAGCUAACGCAGUUACGUCGCCGCGACGUCGCGGUUACGUAACUUUAUGACCAAACAUAGGUUGCCGCAACGUAAGUUUCAACGUUGCCGCGACGUGCGGGUGAAAGACGCGAUCACGUUGCCGCAAUGUAUCUUGGCGACGUUGCUCGUCCGUAACUGCCACGUCCUGGCGACGUCGUGGCAACCAAAAUACAUACUGGCGACAUUUAUGCAACCUUCUUCAAAAAGGUUGCCAUAACGUUGCAAGGACGUUCUUGGCGGAUCUGCAUGGUGCAGUCCUCAUUUGCCCUUUAUAGAACCCACAAAAUCUAGUCUGAAAUCUACAAGCCACAUAAAUAUUUUACCUACAUUUUGGCUGGUGGCUGUUGCUAAUGUGGACCCCAAGCCUAUUCAAAAGACAAGACAGUACACUAACAAAUAUCAAUUUAUUAUAUUUUUAUUUCAAAUAAUUUUGAAUUCAAUUUUGGGGAUGUUCUUCCGCCUGCCGUUCCAUCCAACCCUGUGAAGAACAAAUAAAAGAGAACACCUAAUAAACCAAUCCAGUGCUCAACCCAACCUGUCUCCGUGGGUUCAAUUAAGAAGCAGAAGAGCUGCAGUGUACCCAAGGUCACAUCUGCUCUAUAAGGUGUCCGGCCGCCAUCCCCUAUUCACGUGCUUUUGUGUAUUGGAGAACCUGCUCAGCAAGCUGCAGUCUGCAACUUCUGCGGGAGGUAUGUUUAAUUCAAAUCCAGUACUGUUGCAUUUCAGCAAAAGCACAAGGGUGAAAGUCUUUGGUCCCCUUCAACUCCUGAGCAACAACAGCAGUGGCAUCUUCCCCUUCUUUCCCCUAAGGCUGUAGCUGCUCCAAACAAAGUUUGAGGCCACAGAGCGCAACACCCUCCUCACACACUCCCCAGGAUUGGACCCCCCAACUAGGCUCAGAUGGGAAAUCUAAGGAAAUCAAACAACCAUGGUUAAGGCAAGUAUUUGCAUUGUAUUUUUCAUGUGGUGUUGGUGGUGUUUUCUUUUGAGGGGGGCGAACCAAAUUAAGGUAUUUGAAGAUGGACUGCUCAUCUCUAACUACUUAGCUAACAACAGGGAACUAAAGAUGAAAAAAGCUCAAUGGCAGGGCCAUGUGGCACACUUGGUGGCAUGUGUACAAUAUAGCCUAAAGUCACUUCACCAUUAUUCGUACAUUUACCAUUUUUUUUGUGAAAUCUCUAUUUUUAAGGUGCUCCUCAAGUUCCUGUAGUUCGGCCUGAGUUUGCGCCUGCAGUAACUCGACACUAGCUUCCCCAGGGUCCCCAUGUCGAUUUGCCCGUAGCAAUAAUAGAGCCUCUCUCUGAUUCUGCUCAACAGUCUCAAGCCUUCGGAGCAGAACCUCCAAUGUCGCUGUAAAAAAAAUAUGUUGAGAUCAGAGGAGUGUAUUUAGUAGUAUUUGGUGUCAUUUGCAUACAGUGCAAUACAGUUCAAUACAUGUAUUACCGUUGAUAUUCUUUGCCCAGAUUGGUAUGGUUUCUCUCUCUCUUCGGUCACCUAAGUAAUGUGUAUAAAGCAUAAUGUGUAGGGUUAGUAUAGACAGAUGACUGUCAUAACCUGUUGAUAAGAGUUACUAGUUUGGUUUUAACCACCCUCUCCACCCGCCACUUUACCGUCCCCAGUAGAGAUAGGCAAUGGCGUUUCAAAUGAAGACGCAAUCGAAUCAUCUGCAGGAAGUACAAAAUAAUAAUUCAAUGUUUUUUUUUGGUUUCAAACUCUUUGUUGUCUUGGCUCAUAGAAUUACUGUUAUGUCAUCAUCAUUCGUCAUCAUUACCCUACAUAACUUUACCAUCAUUUUCUGUAAAAUCGUCUCUUGCCGGUGAAGGAGGGGAGUAAUCUACAGAAAGAACAAGAUAAGAAUUUAGGUUAUGUGUUUUUGUUUCGAAACAUAGUGUCUUCUUGACUUCUAUGCAAUUAUUUGUAUUUGUUUUUAACCAUCAUUCCCUUGCAAACUCUACCGUCAUCAGUCACAGGGGGUGAAGAUAUUUGUAGUGCGCUACGCCGUGGAAUGGGUGAUUCUAUCUGGGGUGGAGGAGGAAGGGAAGUCCUGAAAUGUGGACCUGCCUUUUUCCCAUUUCGUUUCUUUGUUUUCUUUUCACCUGAACAGAAUUAUAUUAGCCGAAAGUAAAUAACAGUGUUACAUGUUUACACAUUGUUUAGAAUUGCUGCUUGCACUUUUAACACUAAGUUAAUACAGUACACAAGGAUGUGCAGAUAUACCGGUGUGAAUCAAUUUUUGGGGUUUGACUAUGAUGCGCCUCCCUGUGUCCUCAUUUCCUGUCUCCACACAGGACUUUGUCUCCGCCCUCUUGUUCCUCCUGACGGCCUGAUCCCAAUCAUCUAAACAGUCAGGUGGGCCAAAACAAUUAGAAAUUACACUCUUUUAAAUGUGUUGCAUGUCACCACUUGUUAUUUGUCGCCCAUUAACACACCUGUUGAGGAAAAUAUUUUUAUUGGCCUUUUUAGCCAGGUUUUAGGAUCGGGCAAAUCUUUGUCCUUUGCCCUCUGUGUGGGCUUGUGGAGUGGCCAGUAGCUGCAUGUCUUCUGAAAUGGAAAACAAAAUAGUUUUGCAGAACUUGCAUAGAAUUUUUGAAAUGAUUGACAUAAAGGUUUUUCGCAUGUACUUACAUCUCCCUCUUUUAUAAUCCAAUUACUGGCCACUAUGCCAACAGUCCUUUCCCCCAAAAUUCGACGAUGCUAUACAUUCUGUAAUCAAGAACAGAGAGGUUAAUUUAAUACAGUAAAGAAUAAUUGUGUCUGUACAAGAAAUUGCAAUGAUAAUACACAUGCAAAAUACAACAUACUGCAAUGUCAUGAAGAAUGGCCAUGAAGAGGAUUUUUUCCCCCACAGGAAUCUUGAUUGCCUUUCUUUUCAGGUUGUCAUUUGGAUCCAUCUCAAAACGGUGUCAUUGUUCUUGUACUUCAGUACUCCGAUUAAUGUGGAGUCACAAGGGACACUGAAAAGUGGUUCUGGGUGCUGGUAUACACGGCAAAGCUGGCUUCCGUCCCUCUCCUCUAUGACCUCGCAGCAUUCGCGGCGAUUCAAAAUAAAAGAAGAAUUGGACCUCUGCCUACCAUGCUCCAUUGGCUGUCCAGCGCAUUCCUCAAGCCUUUUCACCACUUGUGACAGGGGGCAUCUUCCACUCCUUACCAUCCUCUUUAUUUUCUUGAGACAAUUUUCAAAUUUAAAAGCGCUACAAUUGUCCAAUCCUCCAAAGGUCACGGCAUCCUCCACAAUGUGCAACAUUGAGUGCACGUUGUAGACCAGAAACUGGUUACCAUAAAGUUCUCGGCCUCUCUCAACAAAGAAUCGGAGGAGAUCAGCAGCAUAUCUCCAAUGUUGCUCAACCAAUGCUGGACUUACAAGUAUGUUCAUUGCCACACUGAAUGUCAUGAAGUGGCUGAAAAAUUCAUCUUUAAGGACCCCCUUCAGCACAAUCUUUCCUGUAUAUAACAUAAACUGCCUAUGUUCCGUUGCCUUCCAUCUCUCAAGCUCUUUAAGAUCUCUCGGUUUGCGAGCGAAGCUGGAAGGGAUGUGUGGACGGAGGUUGGUGAGCCUGCUGCUGACCUCCUCUAUUUGGGUUGCCGACAUCUUCAGGCCCUUCACUCCUCUGCACCACAUGAAGAGAAGCCUCUUCAUGACACCCAAGCAUGCCUGGUGCAUGUAAUCGAUGGGAAAUGCACUGAUCAUGUUUAUGGGUAAAUCCAAAAGCGGGGUGCUGCCAUGAUGAUGCUCGCCCUGUGUCUGUUGGCGGAAGGAGUCGUCACUACGAGCCACCACCUCUGUGUCUUGGUAAGUAACCUUCUCAUACCACUCACCCCUCUGCACACACCGGUCACACCCAUAA